RNAcentral lists this ribosomal RNA (254 nucleotides) under uncultured bacterium. RNAcentral's name for it is "partial 16S ribosomal RNA". It matches the Rfam family "Bacterial small subunit ribosomal RNA", at positions 524 to 776 of the family's 1533-position model. The record is from RNAcentral.
CACGUAGGGUGCGAGCGUUGUCCGGAAUUAUUGGGCGUAAAGAGCUCGUAGGCGGUUUGUCGCGUCUGCCGUGAAAGUCCGGGGCUCAACUCCGGAUCUGCGGUGGGUACGGGCAGACUAGAGUGAUGUAGGGGAGAUUGGAAUUCCUGGUGUAGCGGUGGAAUGCGCAGAUAUCAGGAGGAACACCGAUGGCGAAGGCAGAUCUCUGGGCCGUAACUGACGCUGAGGAGCGAAAGCAUGGGGGAGCGAACAGG